GCAUUACUGAAGAGUUCCAAAAAAGGACGAAACAGCUGUCCAGUGC
This 46-nucleotide non-coding RNA is filed under the name Trichobilharzia regenti. Lineage: Eukaryota; Metazoa; Platyhelminthes; Trematoda; Strigeidida; Schistosomatidae. The record is from RNAcentral.